Molecule: ribosomal RNA, 392 nt
Filed under: Centropages sp.
Lineage: Eukaryota; Metazoa; Arthropoda; Copepoda; Calanoida; Centropagidae
Description: partial small subunit ribosomal RNA
Rfam family: Eukaryotic small subunit ribosomal RNA
Source: RNAcentral
AUUCCAGCUCCAAUAGCGUAUAUUAAAGUUGUUGUGGUUAAAAAGCUCGUAGUUGGAUUUCGGCGGGUAUUGGUUGGUUUGAAUUGCUUCAACACUGACUUUUUUACCCGUGUGUUUUGCCAGAAUUUAGCGGGUGAUCUUCGCCGAUUGUCCGUUGGAACUGGUAGGUUUACUUUGAAAAAAUUAGAGUGCUCAAAGCAAGCUUACUGCUUGAAUAGUUGCGCAUGGAAUAAUAGAAUAGGAAGUCGUUUCUAUUUUGUUGGUUUUCGGAAAUCGACUUAAUGAUUAAUAGGGAUAGUCGGGGGCAUUCGUAUUCAAACGACAGAGGUGAAAUUCUUGGACCGUUUGAAGACGAACUAAGGCGAAAGCAUUUGCCAAGAAUGUUUUCAUCG